Molecule: long non-coding RNA, 608 nt
Organism: Suricata suricatta (meerkat)
Lineage: Eukaryota; Metazoa; Chordata; Mammalia; Carnivora; Herpestidae
Exons: 3
Source: RefSeq, a predicted model, not a curated record
GCAACCCCACCGCUCCUGAGCUAUUACCCAUAUCCCGAUUUCGUAGCAAUUUCACACAGGCACCCACAGAUCCCAUCGAGAUCGCUGGUGCGGGGGCGAAUAUACACAAGCACAGCUCCCUAUCGGCUUCCUUUCCAAACCCUCUGGCUACCAAGUCCUGAGACUGCGAAAGCAUUGAGCCCUCACUAUGCCCCCAGGGGCCGUGGGCCCUCAGAAGUCAUUCCGAUGCCGGUUCUCGAGGCUCUUACCUGACCCUGAGGUCCUUUCAAGAAUGUUCCCAAGUUUCAGGUCGCGGUUAGAAUGCAAGACUCAACGAAGGCCUCCACGCUGCUCCCCCACAAACAGAUGCUCCAGUCUGGAAACCUGGACCGUAAACCAACUCGGCCUUUCAACCGGAAGUAGCUUUGGACGCGAUGGCCCCUGGGAAACGUAGUUCAGAGCUCCGAGGAAGGGUGUGAAUUCUUUCACCAUCCCCACUGUCAUCUACCAGAUCUUGUCACGCCACAUUUGGUGGCCCCCGUCGGAUCAGGGGACCCCACAAAUACCUUGGGUUGUCAGUUAUAUAUCUUUAACAUUUACAUAAAUGCGAAUAAAGUUGUAUGAAUUUA